AAUGAACGCUGGCGGCGCGCCUAAUACAUGCAAGUCGAGCGAGAAGACGUAGCAAUACGUUUGUAAAGCGGCGAACGGGUGAGGAAUACAUGGGUAACCUACCCUAGAGUGGGGAAUAACUAGCCGAAGGUUAGCUAAUACCGCGUACGCUCCUUGGACUUCGGUUCAGGGAGGAAAGCGAUGCCGAGGGUAUCGCGCUCUUGGAUGGGCUCAUGUCCUAUCAGCUUGNGGUUGAGGUAACGGCUCACCAAGGCUUCGACGGGUAGCUGGUCUGAGAGGACGAUCAGCCACACUGGCACUGCGACACGGGCCAGACUCCUACGGGAGGCAGCAGUAAGGAAUAUUGCGCAAUGGGCGAAAGCCUGACGCAGCGACGCCGCGUGGGGGA
RNAcentral lists this ribosomal RNA (388 nucleotides) under uncultured bacterium. Its description in RNAcentral is "bacterial SSU rRNA". It matches the Rfam family "Bacterial small subunit ribosomal RNA", at positions 29 to 408 of the family's 1533-position model. The record is from RNAcentral.